AGCUGCGGCCGGGGAAGUGUUGGGGUGUUUUGUGAUUGAGGCGCGGAUGUGGAGGUGGUUUAGGGAUACCCUGUUGGCUGCCGUUUGAGGUGGCAGAGGGGAAUCCUUUCGAGAGCAUUAAUGGCCCUGGGUCCUGCCUUCGCGCGGAGGAGGCCUCGUUCCCGAGAUCAGGCCUGACCGGGAUAAGCCCCAGUUUGAAGUGACAGCUUUUUUCUUGGGGGGAUCUUGCAAGGAUAUUUUGUCACCCUUCCAUUCCAUGACGAAAUGAUUCUUCAGGCUUAGAAAGAGUAAGAUGUGUCUGUAAUUCAGAUUACUUCAUCUUUGGUGUUUUUCAGCCCAGGAUCAUUCAUUCUAUGUAACCAAUACUGCUACAAGUAAGACAAGUUCCAGUAUUUUUUCUUUCUUCUU
This 408-nucleotide long non-coding RNA is filed under the name Castor canadensis (American beaver). RNAcentral describes it as "lncRNA (ENSCCNG00000031072.1)". The record is from RNAcentral. Lineage: Eukaryota; Metazoa; Chordata; Mammalia; Rodentia; Castoridae.